Long non-coding RNA from Chlorocebus sabaeus (green monkey), 3273 nucleotides. RefSeq lists it as uncharacterized. The record is from RefSeq and is a predicted model, not a curated record. Lineage: Eukaryota; Metazoa; Chordata; Mammalia; Primates; Cercopithecidae.
CUAUCUUGGCCUCCCAAAGUGCUGGAAUUACAGGUGUGAGCCACUGCGCCCAGCCUGCAUUGAUUGUAUUAUUCCCAUUUACAGUUUCUUGGACCGAAUGCCUCUGUUUAUGGGGUUUCUUACUUAUCACCACCUUUGCUGCCAUGUUCAACCCCUCUUGUGCUGCUUUCUCUAACUUGCCUCUGCUGGCUGGAGUUUGCAGAUGGAAUAGCGGUGCAGGGGUGUUGCAUCCUCCCGGCCUCUCCAUCUGACACUGUCUUUCCACAGCCUUUUCUUGUGGCCAACACCUGGGCUGUGUAUGGAAUUCUUGGGCACAAUAUCCCUGAAGAGCUUGUUGGAAUGUGCUUCGUGGGCUUCUGGAGUUUUCUCUGGCUUCACCUGAGGCCCAUUCAUCUUUCUUCCUUCUGUGAUCACCUCUGUUACCUCUCUCGUUGCCCCUCCUGGUUCUUCUCUCUCUGGUCACACCUGUCUUCCUCAGUUCUUCAAGUAGUUCCUUCCUCUCCCGUCCCACACUCUCUCCUCUGCCAGGAACCAGACCCCGUGCAUCACCUCAGUGUCAGAGCUCACCAUCAUCUUCAGUUAAGCUGUUCUCAAACUCUCAGCCUCAAGUGAUCCACCCACCUCGGCCUCCCAAAGUUCUGGGAUUACAGGCAUGAGCCACCGUGCCUGGAAAAUUCCUUCAGAAAACUUUUGAUCAGGUUUUCCCUAACAUGUAGUUUGCAGCAGGGGAUGGGUAUUGUGCUGUGUUUUAUAAGAAUGUAACACAAUCCAUGCCAUAGAAAUGCAGGGGCACAGCUUUCUAGAGACCACUGGCAAUAUUCCCAAUGUGGAAGAAGGGUGUGUAGAAUUAUUUCACAAAGUGGUAGUGACAGAGAAAAAAUUCCUGUAGCCAAGACCUUUAUUGUUAUUGGUGUAUUUCUAGGUGCUUCUUAGCUUUGUGGAACGACUGGAAGAAAUACUCACAGCUCACUCAUUCCUGACCCUUCCUCUUGAAUGUUGGCUUCUCUACAAGUCUUCACGACAGUGUUCUUGAAAUGUUUUUUUCAAAUGACUACACAAUGACAGCUUGCCCAGGCAAAACGUCGAUAGUCAGUAAAAUGUUAAAGUGCUUAAUUAAUGCUUGUAAAAUUCAAAAAUACAUCCACUGAUGCCACAAUAAUUCACUCAGCGUUCUACACAAAAACAUUGUCAUUAUUUAUAGCAGGGAUUGACAAAUCUGGCCAAUGGCCUAUUUUUAUAAAUAAAGUUUUAUUAGUACACAGCUAUACCUACCUGUUUAUACUUUCUGGCUGCUUUCAUGCCACAAGGGUGGAGUUGAGUAGAUGCAGCAGAGACCAGAUGUAAUGGUUGGUUUUAUGCACCAACUUGAUUGGGCCAGAGGAUGCCCAGAUAUGUGGUUAAACAUUAUUUCUGGUGUGUCUGCAAGGAUGUUUCUGGAAGAGUUGAACAUUUAAAUGGUGGACUAAGUCAGAUGGCCCUCCCCAGUGUGGGUGGGUGCAUCCAAUCCACUGAAGGCAUGAAUAGAAUACAAUGGUGGAGGAAGGUUGACUUUGCUCUCUGCCUGAUCUCUUGAGCUGGAACAUGGCUCUUCUCCGGCCCUCACUACUCCUUGUUCUCGGGAUCUUAGACCAGGCCUGGAAUUGACUCCAUCGGUUCUCCCACACUCAGGCCCUCAAACUACAUGGGUUUUCCUGGGUCUCCAGCCUGCAGGUGGCAGAUCAUGGGACGGCUCAGCCUUCAGCCUUCCUAAUCAUUUUUCAUGUGGAUUGAAGAAAGUGUUCAUGUAAUCUCCAAAGACGAGACCUGGUUGUGGAGUCUGAAGACCUGGGUUCGUGGCCCAGUAACAGAACCACUCCAUGACUACAGCUCAGGUUAUUGUGAGGAGGAAAUGGAUGUUACAAGCCUGGGCAUCGUGAUGACGGGGCACGCUGCAAGACUGACUAUGUGGCAUCUCUUCAGGCUGGGGCCUUGGGGAGGAUGUUUCCCUAGAACAUCCUUGCCUCCUGCCAGGCCUUCUCCUGGGCAGGGACAACAACCAGACUUUGAAAUUCCUACCCUUGGUCAGUGCCUCUGGCUGCUCAGUUUAUUGAUCAAACAUGGGAUUGUUGGGCCCAGAGGAGACAGUUGUUCAGCCCAGCACAGGCCAUUAUCUCUUCUUUCAGUUGGAAAAGUGCUCCUGGAUUUAAUUAGGGCUGACAUUGAAUAUUACUCAGAGACAGGCAUGAGGGAGGUUAAGCACAACUGAUGGCACAUCAACUACUUCACCAACGGCAGAAAGGCCUUGGAAUCCGGACACUGGCGCCCCUCCCCGGCUCCACUGCUGAUGGGCAGGAGACCAGGCUGAGGCCGCCUGUCUCCUUAGGACCAUCCAGGACCUGAGCACAUGUCACCAACCUUUUGAUUUUAUUUUUAGCUGAUUUCUACUUGCUUUUACGUCGCCCCAGUUCUGUGUGUAUUUAGAAGUGUCUGAAGGAAUGACAUGGUUGCUAUUUCCGGAGGGCUGGUUUGGCUUUGAGCGUGAUUUUCUUCACCAACACAGUGGCCAGGCACAGUAGUGGCUCCCCCAUUUGACAGAGAAGACUGUGGCUCAGGUACACGUGCCAGGAAGUGGCAGAACCAGGGCUCGACCCAACUUGGAGAUCAUUCCAUGCCUGGAAUAUUGACCACUGCCUGCAGCAGAGGUUCUCGGCCUGCACUGUGCAAGAGAGCGACCUUCCUGGACUCUGCCAACACGGGGAGCUCCAUGCUCUUCCAGUGACCAGCGGUGGUGCUGGCAGUGCCGAGGGUGAGGGGGUCCUUAGGGGCCAGGGCCAGGACCUGUCCACCCAGACGCCAGGGAGAAGGCAAUGAGUCUGAGCUGGCUCUCAAGGGCGCUGGCCCUGGGGAGGGGAAACCCACGCCAGCCUCGGGGAUGAUGAAGCUCGGAGAGUGCUCACCGGGGCAGCGGCCGGAUGCCCAGCACGUCACCUCCCUUGUCAGUCAGUUCGCCCUUCCUAGACACUGGUCACGGCAGAUCCUUACCGGCUUUUUGCACUUUGAAAUCCAACUAUGCAACUCAUUAUUUCUUUCAACUGUGGCCACAUUCAGGAUCCCACGGUGUACUAAAAUCUCUUUGAGUCAGAAAGCAAAGAAGAAGGAAGAAGCAUUGGCGUUUUCCCUGUCCCCAGCAUGGCUACAGGAUGCAGAGUGAUUGAAAAUGGACAUUUAUUAAGAUGAUUAAUGUGUGCCCUCGGUUCUACCAGAUUAUCUGUAUAAAUUGUCUUUCCCUAUUCA